RNAcentral lists this long non-coding RNA (645 nucleotides) under Homo sapiens (human). RNAcentral describes it as "HSALNT0367096". The record is from RNAcentral. Lineage: Eukaryota; Metazoa; Chordata; Mammalia; Primates; Hominidae.
AAAUCAUCGAGGCCAUCAAAGAGACCGAGGGUCGCCGCUUCAUCUCCGACCAGAGCCGGAGAAAGGACCUCUCCGACCGGCCACUGCCGGAAAGACGAAGCCCAAAUCCCCAACUACUAACUAUUCCGGAGGCAGCAACCAUCUUACUGGCGUCCCUUCAGAAAUCACCAGAAGAUGAAGAAAAAAACUUUGAUCAAACCAGAUUCCUGGAAGACAGUCUGCUUAACUGCUUUUGUCGGUCUUGGGGAAAAGGAUGAAGAAAUGACUACAGUGGAGAGAUGGAGUCACCUGGCAGCAGCUGUCUGAAUAGGGGACUGAGUACAGGAUAGAAGGUGAUUCCUACACAUACUGCCAAAGCCAGCCUCCUCUUCCUCAUCGUAUCUCUCAUCCUCCACUUCAUCUUCCACAUCACUGCUCUGAGGACUGGAGGCCUGAGACCCUGAAGGAGAAGGUGGUACUGAGGAAGGCCUGGGAUAUUUAAAUCCUUCUGUCUGCCAAAGACAAAAAUAAGACAUAAACAUCACAACAGUUUCUUGGCUUUCAACGAUGUAAAUACUAUGCAUGCACUAUCAAUUUUUUAAGUAGUUAUCUAUCUUUUGUAGUCUGGGUGCUAUUAAACUUUGAUUCAUUUUGAUUUUGAUACCA